GGCCCUGGAUAGCUCAAUGGUUAAGAGCAGUCGCCCGGAAAGCGGAAGACCCGGGUUCGAGUCCCGGUCCAGUCA
RNAcentral lists this transfer RNA (75 nucleotides) under Polistes fuscatus (common paper wasp). RNAcentral describes it as "tRNA-Ser". It matches the Rfam family "tRNA". From Rfam's summary of the family: Transfer RNA (tRNA) molecules are approximately 80 nucleotides in length. Their secondary structure includes four short double-helical elements and three loops (D, anti-codon, and T loops). Further hydrogen bonds mediate the characteristic L-shaped molecular structure. tRNAs have two regions of fundamental functional importance: the anti-codon, which is responsible for specific mRNA codon recognition, and the 3' end, to which the tRNAs corresponding amino acid is attached (by aminoacyl-tRNA synthetases). tRNAs cope with the degeneracy of the genetic code in two manners: having more than one tRNA (with a specific anti-codon) for a particular amino acid; and 'wobble' base-pairing, i.e. permitting non-standard base-pairing at the 3rd anti-codon position. The record is from RNAcentral. Lineage: Eukaryota; Metazoa; Arthropoda; Insecta; Hymenoptera; Vespidae.